AAUGAACGUUGGCGGCGUGGAUUAGGCAUGCAAGUCGCGCGACAAGGAACCUUCGGGUUCUGGAGGAGCGGCAAACGGGGUAGUAAGGCAUCGGAACGUACCCUCUUGUUGGGAAUAGCCGCGGGAAACUGCGAGUAAUGCCCAAUAAUCCCUACGGGGCAAAGGUCCGCCGCAGGAGGAGCGGCCGAUGUGAUACCAGCUAGUUGGUGAGGUAAUGGCUCACCAAGGCUUAGACGUCUAGGGGGUGUGAGAGCAUGGCCCCCACCACUGGACGUGAGAUACUGCCCACGACACCUACCGGGUGGGCUG
This 309-nucleotide ribosomal RNA is filed under the name uncultured bacterium. Its description in RNAcentral is "bacterial SSU rRNA". It matches the Rfam family "Bacterial small subunit ribosomal RNA", at positions 29 to 351 of the family's 1533-position model. The record is from RNAcentral.